Musca domestica (house fly) is the source of this 1285-nucleotide long non-coding RNA. RefSeq lists it as uncharacterized. The transcript has 3 exons. The record is from RefSeq and is a predicted model, not a curated record. Lineage: Eukaryota; Metazoa; Arthropoda; Insecta; Diptera; Muscidae.
GUGUCGCGUAGGCCAUGUUGUUUUCUUGAAAUUGUUGCCAAUUGAAAUGUGUUAAAAACCAAAAUAAUUGAUUGACAAUUAACAGUUCACAAAAAUUAAAGGUUUCUUUUGAUAAAAUUCAGUCAACAAUCAGAUAUACAAACAAAAAUGGCUGAAAAACUCCAAAAUGUCGAAUUUCCACACAAGUGAUUAUGACGAUUUUUUGGUUGAACUUGCAUGAGAUCUUUUUGGCGUGCCGUUGUUAUUAACGCUUAGCUGUGGAUGCAUUUUUAUGGUAGUUGCCCAACAGCUCCGCUGAUACAAUCAUAUUCCUCUUGUCCACGGAGUGAAGGGUGUGAAUGUGGAUACGCUUUUUUUUCUUUUUGAAAGACCUCACCGAAGAAAAAUAUGGCGCUGUAAGUUAAGAAAAACGGCAGUGGAGACCAAGACAACGCCGCCUCACCAAUUCCGCUAACGAUGACCAGUUGAAGCCAACACAUCUUUACCUACUAUGGCCAUUUGGACAGUAUUAAAGCUGGUUUGGUCUUUUUGAUCUUUCACCGGUAUCCAGUACAAUCAAGUUAAGGUUUAAAUUCAAACUCUGGAUUUUAGCCAAUCACACUCAACUUCAUUAGCCACAGUUAAAGGAGGCACAAACCUAACCAGCCAAAUGAAGAGGUCUACAAAAGUUGUUGAUGACUUCAUACGUACAUACUCGUACAUGUUUGGUACAAAUAAGCCAAAUUCCCCUCACCAUGUUGUUUUUUCUUUUGUAUUGCGCCGAAUGAAUGACGACGAGAUUUGUGUCUACAUUUCCAUAAUCACAUUGUAAUAUUAGACUUCUUUGUCUUUGUGCCGCCAUAUUAUGCCAUUAUUUGCCAUUUGCGGGAAUGCUGUUAAAAGUAAUCUAGAAAGUAUUUAUCUUCAAGAAGUGCAUAAAAACAAUCGAGAAAAACUGGCACACAAUGAAACCAAAUGAAAUCAGGCAAUGAUUAAGCCCGUCCUUCCGUCAUCUGAAUGCUUUCCAAGACAACAAUAAAAAGAUGAAAACAAUAAUAAAACAAAACUGUAUUUUGACAAUUACAAUGAUGACAGAUUGAUGGUGAUUUGUUUAUGGCCGUAAUGGGAAUAUGUCAUCAUUGUUCAUAAAUGCAUCGUGAUUAAUGAUUGAGGAGCGGCGAAAUUGUUUUUUGUUACGAAUUUAACUUUUGCGAAUUGGAUAAAAUUGAAAAGAAGUCCAGUUUUGAGGUGAAAAAAGAAACAGUUUUGAAAAGAAGAUCAGUUUUAUGUGGCAAUGUUUUAAGGA